Molecule: ribosomal RNA, 687 nt
Filed under: Escherichia coli
Lineage: Bacteria; Pseudomonadati; Pseudomonadota; Gammaproteobacteria; Enterobacterales; Enterobacteriaceae
Description: partial 23S ribosomal RNA
Rfam family: Bacterial large subunit ribosomal RNA
Source: RNAcentral
UGUAUAAUGGGUCAGCGACUUAUAUUCUGUAGCAAGGUUAACCGAAUAGGGGAGCCGAAGGGAAACCGAGUCUUAACUGGGCGUUAAGUUGCAGGGUAUAGACCCGAAACCCGGUGAUCUAGCCAUGGGCAGGUUGAAGGUUGGGUAACACUAACUGGAGGACCGAACCGACUAAUGUUGAAAAAUUAGCGGAUGACUUGUGGCUGGGGGUGAAAGGCCAAUCAAACCGGGAGAUAGCUGGUUCUCCCCGAAAGCUAUUUAGGUAGCGCCUCGUGAAUUCAUCUCCGGGGGUAGAGCACUGUUUCGGCAAGGGGGUCAUCCCGACUUACCAACCCGAUGCAAACUGCGAAUACCGGAGAAUGUUAUCACGGGAGACACACGGCGGGUGCUAACGUCCGUCGUGAAGAGGGAAACAACCCAGACCGCCAGCUAAGGUCCCAAAGUCAUGGUUAAGUGGGAAACGAUGUGGGAAGGCCCAGACAGCCAGGAUGUUGGCUUAGAAGCAGCCAUCAUUUAAAGAAAGCGUAAUAGCUCACUGGUCGAGUCGGCCUGCGCGGAAGAUGUAACGGGGCUAAACCAUGCACCGAAGCUGCGGCAGCGACGCUUAUGCGUUGUUGGGUAGGGGAGCGUUCUGUAAGCCUGCGAAGGUGUGCUGUGAGGCAUGCUGGAGGUAUCAGAAGUGCGAAU